RNA transcript from Cuculus canorus (common cuckoo), 10633 nucleotides. It is a transcript of the gene named alpha kinase 1, with no coding region annotated. Lineage: Eukaryota; Metazoa; Chordata; Aves; Cuculiformes; Cuculidae. The transcript has 17 exons. The record is from RefSeq and is a predicted model, not a curated record.
CCUUCAGAACUGCAAGAAAGGAAAAUCACAGCAUGAAAUCCCUGUAUUACCAAAAACAUUGCUUUCAGUGUGGCGUUAGAAGACUUUGUGUGCUACUGUAUAGUGACUGUAGAUCAUUUAUAGCAAGCAGGUGGACAGUAAACAUAAGGAAACCACUGGAACAGAGACGUGGGAGUUGAGUCUACCCCAUCCUCUGUGACAAGCGUGGUUUCCCGCCAAUUUGCCAGAGACUCCAAAGCGACAGAUUGCUCUGUGUUGCGCUCUUCCCAGCACUCCAUCUCACAGCCAUUGCCGGUGGAGCGCUUCAAGUCUCACCCAUGACUGUAAAUGGCUGCCAGGUGGUUAUUCAUGAAGAUCUCGCAGGUAGGUUUAUCUUCGGAAGAAAAGUGUCACUUAGCAGUGACAGCAAGGUUGACUUUAUGGACUUAAAAUGGAGCAGUAAGCAGCACUGACUGGGCCUGCGUGCUCUGCUCCUCGGUAUUGCCGUUGGGUUAGAGGUUAUCAAAGGGCUUUUACAAAUGCGCUCUGACUGCAGGCAGUCAUUUUUCAGGCGUGUUUAAAGCAGUCUUUUGGCUCUUUAGUGAGAAUUUACCUCCUGUAUGUAAACACAAGAGUGUUUAGAACUGACUGACAGGUAAAAUGAAUGCCAAAGCUCAUAUAUCAGCGAGACCUGAAGGAGGGAUCGUCACCAAGUCUAGGAAUUCCCUCACUGCCUAUCAGAAAAUCCUAUUUAUCUGUUGCAGAAGUACUUAUCUACGCGCUAGAAUUAACAAAUAACUUUUAUUGGGUUCCUGUUGGGGAUUUUUUUUGGAUGCUGCUUGCACAUAGCACAACAAAACCCUGUACCAAAGCCUGAGUGACUGUAGUGCAUCCAAACAAACUCUGAGGCACCCCCUGCAGCCCCGUGAUCCGCUCCCCCGGACCCGCCAGGGCGGCGUUUCCCUACACUGAGGCUUGGAAGAAAGGAAAGGCCGAGUACGUGGAAGGAGGAACCAGAGAAUGAGUACUCAGUUCCUGACCGGAGGAACACUGGAAUCACACAGCACAGAUGUUUGUCCUGUUUCUCCAGACGUAAUUCCUGUCAGCCCUUUGGUUCUGCAUACACCCUGUUUCCUGGGCUGCGAAAGAGGUCUUUUGAUAGGAUUAUUUCAAUCCUUGUAGCUACUGAGAUAAGCUGUGAGCUUUCUACAUAUGACCUCCGAUAUCUUCGUGAUAACUCAGGUUUUGACCUUGUCAGAUGCACAAGCAGCGUGAAGAUCUGAACAAGACAAGGCUUGAACUUGUGUUUUACAACCACUAGAGUCAGUGUUUAUCAGCUUUUACAAUCUCACUGAUCAGCUGGGACUGUUAAAAGACGAGCAGUUUUCUUUGCAAGAAUUGGAACAACAGAUUUCCUACAAAGUUUACAGUAGAGGUACCUCAGCCUUGAAGGGAUCCUUUUCAUUUAGAAUCCAUGUCUUCUCUUAAGUAAUUGAUCAUCGUGCACCCGGGGACACCCAAUUCACAGCCGAGUGGGAUCAGCCUUCAUGAAUAAUCAAAAUGCCGUGGCCGUGCUGCUGCAGGAGUGUAAGCGAGCUCUGGACACGCUCCUGUUGUCAAAGGCUGACACGGGUGAGGAAGACGAGCGAGAAUACCAGCGGUGCCAAGCUUUGCUUCCUGAGGACUUGAGGACCCUUCUGGAAGAGGCAAAGGAAAUGAAGUGGCCCUUUGUGCUGGAGAAGUGGCAAUACAAACAAGACCUAGGCCCAGAAGACAAAAUAAACCUGCAAGAUAUGAUCAGCGCGAGGCUCCCCGAUUUGCUGGUUUAUUUGAAAGCCUCCAUCAUGGUCAAGGACUGCGUAACAGCAGCUGCUACUGUGUUCCUGAUUGACCGGUUCCUGUAUUGGAUUGAUGCCUCCAGCAAACUUCUUCAGAUUGCCAAGGGUCUGCACAGGCUGCAGCCCACCACGCCCAUCAGUCCUCAGGUGCUCAUCCGCCAGGCUCGCCUCUCCGUCAACGCAGGUAAACUUCUAAAAGCUGAAUAUAUCCUAAGCAACCUUAUUAAUGACAAUGGGGCAACAGGUACUUGGCGAUACGCUAAGGAAAGCGAUAGAAUUCUUGUUCAGGCUGUCUGCUUACAAAUCAGAGGACAGAUUCUGCAAAAGCUCGGGAUGUGGUAUGAGGCAGCAGAGUUGAUUUGGGCUUCAGUUGUGGGAUAUUUCAAACUUCCUCAGCCAGAUAAAAAGGGAAUUGCUACUUCCUUGGGUAUUAUGGCAGACAUCUUUGCUUCCAUGAACGAGAAGGAUUACGAACGUUUUAAAACCAAUGCUGAGAUUGACCUGAGCCUUCUCCAAGAGUUCAGUCAUCGCUUACUAUCCGCUGCAGAGGCCUGCAAGCUAGCAGCAGCUUAUAGCCAGUACACCCCACUGUUUGUCCUCACGGCCGUGAACAUCCGUGGGGUGUGUUUGCUGUCCUACAGUCACUCCAAGGACUGUCCCCCAGAAAAGAGAAAGUUCUACUUGUCCGAAGCCAAAGAAUCCUUUGAGAUUGGCCUCCUCACCAAGAAUGAUGACAGUCCCAUCACCAGCAAGCAGGAGCUCCAUAGCUUUAUUAAAGCAGCUUUCUGCCUCACAACUGUGCAUCGAUGGCUCUACGGGGAGAGCGAGAAACUCCGUGAGUUGAGGCAAGUAUGCAGGGAAGCCAUGGGAAAACUGUAUUCGUACAGCACUUCAUUUACAGAAGAGGAAGAGAAAGGAAUGCUUGCCAAAGAGAUCAUGUCUCUAAUCACCUCUGUGAAGAAACGCCUGCAAGUGGAAAGCUUCCCUAAUUCUGAUGCCAGGUCUUACGUUCCAGACAGUUAUAAAGGCACGAUGGAAAAGCCUAUCCUGCAACGGGAAGUCAGCUUUGAGAAAAUCCUUGCCACGCAUUCUCAGCAUCAUGUGUCAGUGUGUGAAGUGUUUGAAAAGACUUGCAGGAUUCAUAAAGCCACACCAGGAGAAACCCAAGCGGGAGCUUGUAUCACAACCUUAAGAACAGAAACCAGAAACAUAGACACCUUGUGUACUACUGAAGAAACAGCAUACCAGAGGAAAGGCGCUGCGAAAACGCUGAAUUCACCAACAGCAAGAAGUGGCUCAGAGAGACUCAGUGGCCAAAGAAAUAAAUACAUUGGCUCUGAUGUGAUGAAAAUUUCCUUUGAUGAAGAGAUCAAGCCAUUAGAAAUAAGUGAUCAAGAUGGUGUUUUCAGUAGACGGCAAAACAGGAGUCAAACCCCUACAUCAGAGAGCUCUUGGUGCAAGCUGUCAAAAUCGAGUUCCUCUUCCAGCUGGGAGGAACUGAACCACAGUAGCAGCAGAAAUUCUCAUGGGGAAGGGCAGCAGCAGGAAAAUGGCUCAGCAGUGGAUCAGUGUUGCACGACAGAAUCUGAUGAAAAUGGCCAAGCUGCAUACUUGUGCUCAUUACCUCCCAGAGCCUUGCCUCCAUCUCCUCGAGAGCCUCUGUGUAGUUAUUGGGAACCUUCUCAGCCUUCUGUAGAAGGAGAUAGAGCCCUGGCUGGGAGGCUGGGAGGGAAGGCGUCUCUUUGUGAAGAGCUGCGGGAGGGGAGACACCAUGGGAAGAGCUCUUCAGAAAAGAAAACAGGGGAGGUGAACCACAUGGCCUAUUCCCUCUCCGCCCCUUACUUUGUGCCUUGCAUGCAGGAGGAAGAGAAAUCUUCCUCCUGGGUCAAACUGGACUGCAGGAGCAAGGAUAGUGGCAGGGAGGGUGGUGGCACUCCCUCCUCCUCACCCCAGAGCCACUUUUUGUGGGUCAACCUGGAGGGAGAGACUCUAGGGAGCACAGAGGACCCCUUGUUUGAUGCACAGCCCUCUGCAAAUGGGGCUGCCUCUGUACUAACAACGAGCAUCCAACCAAACAUGACCGGCAACUCCUCUGUGCCUGACCAGCUGAGGGUAUCUGCCGCGAUGGGAAAGAGACCUCUCAAAGUGCCUGAAGAUGAUGCCCAGGCAGAAACAGUAGGUGACACUGAAUAUGAUUUUAUCAGUACUGGAGACUUAGUAAACAAUCAUCCUAUGGCUCCUGUCCCAGAGCAUCAGUCAGCUCCCAGUGCACCAACAGCUUUGCCCUUGGGGGGAGAGAGAUGCGUAUCUGAGCACUUUAACUGUGCCACUACUGAAGAAGAUGAAGAAAAGCCUCAGAAUGUGGUGAGCAGCAAGAGACAAUCCAGUUCAUCUCAGAGCUUAUGGUGCAAAUCAGCCCAGAGUUCUCCUGCAGGCCCAUUUAUGAACAUGAGGGGAAGUGAUUUUAUCUUCAUGCCUGGGAGAAUGCAGGAAGAAAUCCUUGAUGCUCGAUUUCUGAGGGACGAUGAUUAUGUGCAGCUUCUGGCAGGAGUAGAACAUAAUUGGCUUGUCCAGCGAUUGAUGCCUACUGGAAUUUUUAAGCCUAAACAGCUUCGUAGAGCAUACUCUGCUCUUCUUUUAAAAUACUCAAAGAAAUCGGGCCUCUGGACAGCCCAAGAGACGACUGUGUUCAUUGGGGACUACCUGAGCGUGGCAAAGGAGGGCAAACAGAGGAGCGCAUUUUGGAUACACUUUCUGCACCAAGAAGAAAUCCUAGGAAGGUACGUUGGGAAAGAAUAUAAAGACGAAAAAGGACUUCUUCAUCAUUUCAGUGAUGUGGAACGGCAAAUGACUGCCCAGUACUACGUGACAGAAUUCAACAAAAGGCUGUAUGAGCAAAAGGUCCCUACCCAAAUCUUUUAUAUCCCCUCUGCAGUGCUUCUGAUACUGGAAGACAGAACUAUAAAAGGAUGUGUGAGUGUGGAGCCCUACAUCCUCGGGGAGUUUGUGAAGCUAUCCAAUAACACCGAUGUAGUAAAGAAUGAGUACAAAGCCACAGAGUACGGUCUGGCCUACGGCCAUUUCUCCUACGAGUUCUCCAAUGGAACAGAUGUCGUUGUUGAUCUGCAAGGUUGGGUGACAGGUAAUGGGAAAGGCCUCAUCUACCUCACGGACCCCCAGAUUCAUUCUCUUAACAGCAAAGAUGUUUCACGCUCCAACUUCGGGAAGAGAGGAAUUUAUUACUUCUUUAGUAGUCAACAUAUGGAGUGCAAUGAAAUCUGUCACCGCCUUUCUUUAACAAGACCCUCAGUAGAGCUGCCAAUGUAGACACAAAGAAUGACCCGUAAGCUGGACAGUAUUUUAUCCUACACAUCUUUAGGAGGAUAUUGUCUUCGUGAGCACAGAGACGCUGAGACAACUCUUACGUGAGUUGGGUCAGUCUUUACCUGUAUGGAUUUCGCAAGUUCUGGUCUUUGCAUCCAGGCUGGUAAUAGCACGUUACCCUCUUGUGUACCAUCCGAACCCCGUGUUGUUAUAGCCAUCUGUAAUAAUUAACAGAGGAACAUGAGAAGAGUAAGAAAAGACUCCCAAAUUCAGCUGGAGGCAUACUAUGAGACUGUAUAAACUUCUCAAUCCUUUCAGACCCAGUAAGGGCAAUAGGCACCAUCUGCUCCUUGGAAAUGAAGUAUGAGAUGGAGUGAGACAAAAGCAGGAGUUGCAUUUCAACCAUCUGUAAAAUUUUCAAAAACUGGUAUAAAUGCUUCAGGGAACAAAUGGUGGUGUCUUGGUCUGCUUCAAAACCAGCAGUUUCUUACAGAGCUGUGUAUGUACAUGUACAGAUGUGACCACACAACAUCUAACAGGUGGAAAUAUGAUUUAAACUGCAACAGUUAACAGAAACUAAAGUUAAACAGUUAAGCAGAAACUUUUGCUGCUCUACGAGGUAAGAAUAGUGUUCUUGAAACCCUGAUAAUUUAGGACUGCUGCAUUUAACAAACUCUCAGGAGACCUUCCCAAGAGAGGAACAGCUCUCACUGAGGAACAGCCCAUCUCUUCUGCCUGUAACGGAACUGUGAGCACCACUAAUUUGAUGACCAAUGCUGUAACUAAUUCCCACAAAUAGUCUUGCUGGACAUGAGUGUAGCUUCUUGAACAAAAGAGCAGUUUGGGGGUGAGUCCGCUCUCUGCUAGGCACAGAGUAAGCAGCCUCAGCGCUGCUUUUGAUUCCAGCUAGGCAGGCAAAGCACCCCCUCCCUUGGAACUGCUGUUGUCAGCCUCUCCAAGAACUGUGAGGUGAAUGGUGUUCUGGAAGGAGUGCUGCCUUUCUCCGCCAAGUCCCUGACAGAAGCCGACUUGCCGUUUGCUGCCGGUAGCAAGGAUGAUGCCUCUGAUGGAUUAUGCCUCAGUGCUGGCAGAAACACAGCCUCCCAACACAGAGCUUCCACCCGGCUGCAUUUCUGGCACAUCCCUGAAAACACGUUUAUGAAAGUAAAAGAGAUGUUGAAUAAUAUUUAAGUGAUAUAUUUAUACACUGCCCCUAUCACCACCCCACACAGAGAUCCUGAUACCCUCACCCGCCUCCGCUCACAGAGCUGAGACUGACUCAGUACCUACGUGAGGAGGGGGAGCUCUUGGCCACUCUGCCUAUGCUGGGAACACGCUUUGCUAUCAUACAUGCAAACAGCUGCAACUUGGUCCUUUAACUCCAACAGUUUUGCAUUUUUUUCAUUGUUGUUUGUGCUCGUUAUCGAGAAUCCUCGGAGAGCCCCUGCUCUUUAACACCAGGAUUGAACUGCCUUUGGCAUGUAAGCUGGCCACAUGCUGCAGUAGUGCCUGCCUGGGUUAGAGGCAGCUGCACCCUUUUACUUUCUAUGAAGCAAUCUUUUGUGGUUUGUGGGUUUUGUUGAGUUUUAUUUAUAAAAAUAAAGCUUGCGAUCCAUUCACGUGACCCCCUCCGACACCUACAGCAAUUCGCAGACUGAUAACCGCUCACCUACCUCCAAGAGACACAGCGGGUGGAGUCACUCUGUCACAGUGGAUUUCAGAAGCACCGUGAGGAAAGCCAAGACCUCUCAACUUUGUGAAUUCUAGCUGAACAGCUGAAAUCCUAUUUUUUUUUCCCACGCAGCCUGGUUAGCUGAAAAGAGUCAAACCUGCUGGCAUAGUUGGGUAAUGUUUACAUAUGCUGUAGAGAAAACACCCAUAAAAAAGAGAGGAUGGGAGCUCCUCACACAAAAUGCUGUGGCCCUUGGAUGCUGAAUUAAACCAGCUGGAGUGUCUGAUUGGAAUAAUUAAAAAAAAUCCCUUAUUGACAAUAUAACUCAAAUUCAGACUAUGAUGAAAAAAAGCAUUUUCAAGUCAAACAUACUGAAUAAUGCAUUUUGUCCUCAAAAAUGCAGCUGUCCAUUUUACAUCUACUGCAGAUAGGCUUUUAAUGAGUGACAGGCCAGGAUGAGUGGGCUUCAACCCUUGUUUCCAGAGGCUGAUAAGCUGCGUGGACUUAGAGGAAGAUGCUUGUUUCAGCCUCUACCGGGGAUGCAUUGCAAAUUUUGAUCAGAAGCAGAGGGCAUAGCUUUGCAUCUACAGGUUGCAGCUGAUUAUCUGUUCCACGGGAAAAGGUGAUGUUUGUGCUGAGUUGUUUGGAAAGAUGCUGUAUCACUGCACUGACUGAUUAGAACUAGGUGUAAAGAGGGAGAAGCAAGAGAAGAAGAAAAAAAAAAUAAAUCUCUUUAUUAUGGUGCAUAAACCUUCAGUGUUGGGGAGCUGCGCAGCUGCGCAGGAAGAAAAAUGCAUUCAAAAAUAUAAUGCUAGUGUGAAUAAUCCUUUCUCGAAUGCUGCUCGCAGACUGCUUCAGCUUUGUCAGGUGAACUUGAACUGGGCCAUCAGCUUUGCUGCCGUUCCCAUUGCACACUGUCUAUCACCCCGGGGCAUUCACCAUCUUGACUGUUGUUAAAAGCGAGCAAACAAUCCAUCAUUGAGCCAGGGAGUCACUUGCUCAUAGAAAAGUAAAAUCGGCAUGUGACGGUACACUCGGCCCCAGUGUUUCGCAGAUUAAAGUGAUACAUGAAAACUCACGUGUUACUGGGAAGAUUAAGUCCGUUAUCUUGUUCUGUAGCCAAUAAAGGACAGCCUUCUCUGCAGCAGUAGGGAAAUGCUGGCUUUAACCAAGUGACAAACGCUGUGCAUACAUAGCUACGUGCUCCUGGAAAAGAGAGCGCCCAGCUCUAAAGGGGAAACAAAGCUAGUUAGCAAGAUCUCGCAAUUAAUAGGCAGCAGAGAUGCUGUGUUAAAGCCUCUCUGCAGAGGCUUUCCUUUCUCUAUAGAGACAAUUAAAAGCAAAACAAAACCUCCUGGACAAAUCUCUGUGGAACAAAGUGUCCUAAUACGCUGCCAACAGCCAGUCCUGCAGUGUGUGCUGUAACAGCACAUGGCGUUUCGAGACCCGUGGAAAGUAAUGCCUGCUCCAGCUUAUGCUCUGGUUCAAAGAAAGAACAAAAAUACAUAUUUGAAUAUGCUCCUGAAUCAAACAAUCUGUGGGAAAUGUCAAUAUUUUGAUUUCUUCCUUGUAUUUGCAUUUGGCAGCUGAUUUCUCAUGUUCGUUUGUAGCCUACGUUUUACCAUGUCAGCCAAACUUAUGGCUGCUCACAGUUAAAAGUUCGUAUCAAGCAUCGGCUUGUCCAGUUCUCCGUUAAAACAGGUAUCGGCAUAUUUAACCCAGUAACUUCUACUGGUCUUACUCUUUACCGGCUGGGGCACAAUCUCAGCGGUAUCAGUCCCUCACAAAUGCAGACACUGUCUUCGUCUAAGGCUUGGACCCUGGAAAUAUUGAAUUAAUGCACUUUAUAACCUCACUGCUUGAAGAACUUAGACGCAUACAUGGCCUGAAACACACUGAACUGAAAUUAUUGGUUCAUAUUCAUGGUAUAAAUAGGUGAUUACUGAGGGAAAUAAAUAGUUUACUCAGACUGAUGAUGGAGCAUUCGAUAUUUUGUCUCUAGCUUAGAGCUACGAAUGAAAAAUGUUGCUGAUCUGCUGUUUCCUCUGGCUUCAGAACAAAGUAAUUUGAACCAACCAAGUCUUAGGGAAUCCAGUGGUUUGCAUUAAGUAACUUGCUACCAAGGGUGCUUUUGGGGCUUGAUUAAUUAUAACUCACCCCGAAGUCCAGUGUAAGAGCUCAGUCCAGUGUAAUAGCUAUUAAGAGCCACUCACGCUGUGGUCUACAAAACAAGUGAAACGUUGCUGUGCUGGUACGGUGAAAUAUUAGCAUUAACUGUAGGGACAUGAAGUCUGAAGAAAUGUUUCCUUCUCUCGGCUGAAGCAGCCAACUGAAGGACUUGAGUUUAUAGGCAGUGUCCGCCCUGCAGCAGGUCAGGCACAAACCUGUCUGGCUCUUGAUGAGGUGAUGACAUAAUUCCCUGUCCUUCAGGGAAGAUAUUUGGUUAAAGAGGUGUUUUCCACUUACCUUUCUGCAGGUACCCAGGUCUUGUUUGCCAAGCACCGUGCGUAAUAGCUAGUAAAUUUGAUAUCAAGAGGGAAUUUGGUGCAGCGAAAGCCUGUAGACUACAGGCAGAAUGAUUUUCUCUCUCCUUUGCCAAUACCUUGCACCACUGUGAAGCACUUUGGGGAACUUCUCUUACAAAAGAUACAGUCUAAAAGGGAGACCCUUGGUCAUUCCGAUAAUACAAGGCUGAGCCAGGCUUGGCUCCGUCCCUCUCCCUCUCUGUGGGAAGCAUCUCAGGCCAUUAAGGCCAGCGGAGAGCGGGUGUGAGGUGACCCCUCCAGCUGUGAGGCAGCCCCCGCACGCGAGGCAGCACGGCCCCGCUGCCAUAAACCCGGCGUCAGCUGCCCCGCCAGCCCAGCUGCUGGAUUUAGGCAUCCAUCCUCUACCAGAAAAAGGUAUUCAUGAAUACUGAGGGGAAAGCUUCACGUGAGCAAGCUGAGAGAGGCUGCCCGUGCUGCCAAACCUCUUCUGCUUGUCUUGUGCUGAGCACAACGGCACCAGCCUCCUCGGCGAUCUCCUUCCCACUGUACAGCUUGGUAGCACAGGUGAAAUUGCUCUUCCAGGCAUAGGACUGGCACCCAGCAUGAGAAUUUUUCCAGCCCAUCCUGCUCCUCAAACAGCAGAGCCGUGGGGAAGCCCUCAGGAGGGAAAGGGAAACUGAGCCCACACAGCUGUGUACGUAGGCAUUGCGUGUGUGCUGGGAAAAGCAUGCUAUUUCCAGGUGGUGUGACGUGCUGUUGUAACCGCUGCUCUCUUGAAAUCACCAAAAUGGGGAUAUUUGCAGCAAAGUAUUGGCCAAGAGCUGCCCCUGUCACCUGCUGCCUUGGAGGAAGGUCCCUGCACCGGCACCCGAGUGCCGUCCCCAGCCCUGCAGGGAAGCCAGCAGGCUGGAGACACCCCCGCAGCAGCAGCUCUCACCCCUCUCCCGAGGAUGGCACGCACCACCCUCCUUUUUCUCUGCUUGAAUGAAAUCAUGUCCCGUGCCCCUCUGCCGAGCGGGAGCAGAUGGGGCUGUUGGCCUCUGCAGCCGCCCGCUGCCCUGGCUCGCGUGAGUCCCGGCUUCCUCCAGCCCCCCCCCAAACAGAGCUUCAUCCCAUUCUUUGAUAGGAAAACAUCUCUUCCGAGCUCUUUUUAAGAGCGUAUCUGUGUACGAAGGGCAGGGUAGUCCGGCUGGCAGCGGGUUACGCUAAGAGCCAAGCUGCUGUGCUGGCUACCGGAGCUGCUGUCCCCUCCGAGCAGGCCAUCACAUUAAUAGAGGUUGAUUUGCAAACGGCGUCACCCCCCUCCCCAGUGCCCCCCUUUGCCUGACUCCCGC